AGUGAACGCUGGCGGUAGGCCUAACACAUGCAAGUCGAACGGCAGCACAGUAAGAGCUUGCUCUUACGGGUGGCGAGUGGCGGACGGGUGAGGAAUACAUCGGAAUCUACUUUUUCGUGGGGGAUAACGUAGGGAAACUUACGCUAAUACCGCAUACGACCUACGGGUGAAAGCAGGGGAUCUUCGGACCUUGCGCGAUUGAAUGAGCCGAUGUCGGAUUAGCUAGUUGGCGGGGUAAAGGCCCACCAAGGCGACGAUCCGUAGCUGGUCUGAGAGGAUGAUCAGCCACACGGGAAGUGAGACACGGCCAAGGCCCCUAGGGGAGGCAGAGGUGGGGAAUUUGGGAAAAGGGGGGGAAGCCUGACCCAGCCAUGCCGGGGGGGUGAAGAAGCCCUUCGGGUUGUAAAGCCCUUUUGUGGGGAAAAAAAGGCAGCAGGUUAAACCCCCCCUGUUUUGAGGGAACCAAAAAAAAAAGCACCGCUAAACUUGGG
This 491-nucleotide ribosomal RNA is filed under the name uncultured bacterium. RNAcentral describes it as "partial 16S ribosomal RNA". It matches the Rfam family "Bacterial small subunit ribosomal RNA", at positions 29 to 506 of the family's 1533-position model. The record is from RNAcentral.